UACGAAGGGGGCUAGCGUUGUUCGGAAUUACUGGGCGUAAAGCGCGCGCAGGCGGCCUUUCAAGUCAGGGGUGAAAGCCCGGAGCUCAACUCCGGAAUUGCCCUUUGAAACUGUCAGGCUCGAGUACGGGAGAGGUGAGUGGAAUUCCCAGUGUAGAGGUGAAAUUCGUAGAUAUUGGGAAGAACACCGGUGGCGAAGGCGGCUCACUGGCCCGUUUCUGACGCUCAGGCGCGACAGCGUGGGGAUCGAAACAAGG
This 256-nucleotide ribosomal RNA is filed under the name uncultured bacterium. RNAcentral's name for it is "partial 16S ribosomal RNA". It matches the Rfam family "Bacterial small subunit ribosomal RNA", at positions 524 to 777 of the family's 1533-position model. The record is from RNAcentral.